UGGGGAAUAUUGGGCAAUGGGCGAAAGCCUGACCCAGCCAUGCCGCGUGAGUGAUGAAGGCCUUAGGGUUGUAAAACUCUUUCGCCGGUGAAGAUAAUGACGGUAACCGGUAAAGAAGCCCCGGCUAAUUUCGUGCCGGCAGCCGCGGUAAUACGAAAGGGGCUAGCGUUGUUCGGAAUUACUGGGCGUAAAGCGCGCGUAGGCGGACUAACAAGUUGGGGGUGAAAUGCCGAGGCUCAACCUCGGAACUGCCUCCAAAACAGUUAGUCCAGAGGAUGUGAGAGGAUAGUGGAAUUCCGAGUGUAGAGGUGAAAUUCGUAGAUAUUCGGAAGAACACCAGUGGCGAAGGCGACUGUCUGGCACAUUUCUGACGCUGAGGUGCGAAAGCGUGGGGAGCAAACAGGAUUAGAUACCCGGGUAGUCC
Molecule: ribosomal RNA, 424 nt
Filed under: uncultured prokaryote
Description: bacterial SSU rRNA
Rfam family: Bacterial small subunit ribosomal RNA
Source: RNAcentral